This 610-nucleotide ribosomal RNA is filed under the name uncultured bacterium. RNAcentral describes it as "bacterial SSU rRNA". It matches the Rfam family "Bacterial small subunit ribosomal RNA", at positions 338 to 944 of the family's 1533-position model. The record is from RNAcentral.
CCUACGGGAGGCAGCAGUGGGGAAUUUUGGACAAUGGGCGCAAGCCUGAUCCAGCAAUGCCGCGUGAGUGAAGAAGGCCUUCGGGUUGUAAAGCUCUUUUGUCAGGGAAGAAACGGUCUACUCUAAUACAGUGGGCUAAUGACGGUACCUGAAGAAUAAGCACCGGCUAACUACGUGCCAGCAGCCGCGGUAAUACGUAGGGUGCAAGCGUUAAUCGGAAUUACUGGGCGUAAAGCGUGCGCAGGCGGUUAUAUAAGUCAGAUGUGAAAUCCCCGGGCUCAACCUGGGAACUGCAUUUGAGACUGUAUGGCUAGAGUGUGUCAGAGGGGGGUAGAAUUCCACGUGUAGCAGCGAAAUGCGUAGAUAUGUGGAGGAAUACCGAUGGCGAAGGCAGCCCCCUGGGAUAACACUGACGCUCAUGCACGAAAGCGUGGGGAGCAAACAGGAUUAGAUACCCUGGUAGUCCACGCCCUAAACGAUGUCUACUAGUUGUCGGGACUUAAUUGUCUUGGUAACGCAGCUAACGCGUGAAGUAGACCGCCUGGGGAAGUCGGUGCAAGAUUAAACUUAAGGAAUUGGNGNGNGAGAGNGCGAGNGACGACGAGGAGAG